Molecule: ribosomal RNA, 435 nt
Filed under: uncultured Flavobacterium sp.
Lineage: Bacteria; Pseudomonadati; Bacteroidota; Flavobacteriia; Flavobacteriales; Flavobacteriaceae
Description: bacterial SSU rRNA
Rfam family: Bacterial small subunit ribosomal RNA
Source: RNAcentral
GGAAUAUUGGACAAUGGGCGCAAGCCUGAUCCAGCCAUGCCGCGUGCAGGAUGAAGCAUCUAUGGUGUGUAAACUGCUUUUAUACGGGAAGAAACCCUGGCUCGUGAGCCAGACUGACGGUACCGUAGGAAUAAGGAUCGGCUAACUCCGUGCCAGCAGCCGCGGUAAUACGGAGGAUCCAAGCGUUAUCCGGAAUCAUUGGGUUUAAAGGGUCCGUAGGCGGCCCUGUAAGUCAGUGGUGAAAUCUCCCGGCUCAACCGGGAAAUUGCCAUUGAUACUGCAGGGCUUGAAUUUCUGUGAAGUAACUAGAAUAUGUAGUGUAGCGGUGAAAUGCUUAGAUAUUACAUGGAAUACCGAUUGCGAAGGCAGGUUACUAACAGACGAUUGACGCUGAUGGACGAAAGCGUGGGUAGCGAACAGGAUUAGAUACCCGUG